GGAUGAAGAACGUAGCGAAAUGCGAUAAGUAAUGUGAAUUGCAGAAUUCAGUGAAUCAUCGAGUCUUUGAACGCACAUUGCGCCCCCUGGUAUUCCGGGGGGCAUGCCUGUCCGAGCGUCAUUGCUGCCCUCAAGCACGGCUUGUGUGUUGGGCCGUCGUCCCCCUCCUAGGGGACGGGCCCGAAAGGCAGCGGCGGCACCGCGUCCGGUCCUCGAGCGUAUGGGGCUUCGUCACCCGCUCCGUAGGCCCGGCCGGCGCUUGCCGACGACCAUCAAUCUCUUUCUCCAGGUUGACCUCGGAUCAGGUAGGGAUACCCGCUGAACUUAAGCAUAUCAAUAAGCGGAGGA
Molecule: unclassified non-coding RNA, 348 nt
Filed under: soil metagenome
Description: partial contains 5.8S ribosomal RNA, internal transcribed spacer 2, and large subunit ribosomal RNA
Rfam family: 5.8S ribosomal RNA (bases 2-121)
Source: RNAcentral